ACUAAAGCUCAUACAAUAUUAGUGAGCUGUCCAUUUAAAAUGACUUUUAGCUAGGUCCCACCUAUCCAAUCUUAGUCUAAUUAUAUAUGAUGCAACCAAGUUGAUCUUAUUUAGUCUAACCUAAGUUCAUUGGAUCUAAUUAGAUCCGACAUGGUAACUUGACCCAUCUUGCCAAACCUAAUCAUGUAGUUAGCCCAAUUUAGAUAUGCAA
Molecule: long non-coding RNA, 211 nt
Filed under: Elaeis guineensis (African oil palm)
Lineage: Eukaryota; Viridiplantae; Streptophyta; Magnoliopsida; Arecales; Arecaceae
Description: long non-coding RNA (EGUI_LNC022233)
Source: RNAcentral